This is a non-coding RNA of Taeniopygia guttata (zebra finch), 1670 nucleotides long. The record is from RefSeq and is a predicted model, not a curated record. NCBI's taxonomy places the organism in Eukaryota, Metazoa, Chordata, Aves, Passeriformes, Estrildidae.
GCCGCGCCCCGGGCACCCCAGGGCCCCUAGAGACACCCCCAGGUACGGCCCAGGUGUUCCCAGGGUUCUACAGGUGUUCCUCAGGUACCCCCAGGUGUUCCCCAGGUGUUCCUCAGGUACCCCCAGGUGUUCCCAGGGUUCCUGCAGGUGUUCCCCAGGUACCCCCAGGGUUCCUACAGACCCUGCAGCUGUUCCUCAGGUGUUCCCCAGGUGUUCCUCAGGUACCCCCAGGUGUUCCCAGGGUUCCUGCAGGUGUUCCCCAGGUACCCCCAGGGUUCCUACAGACGCUGCAGGUGUUCCCCAGGUGUUCCCCAGGUACCCCCAGGUGUUCCCCAGGUACCCCCAGUUGUUCCCCAGGUACCCCCAGGGUUCCUACAGACCCUGCAGGUGUUCCUCAGGUGUUCCUCAGGUACCCCCAGGUGUUCCCCAGGUACCCCCAGGGUUCCUACAGACCCUGCAGGUGUUCCCCAGGGCUCUUACAGACCCCCCAGGUACCCCCAGGUACCACUCAGGGCUCCCCCAGACACCCAAGGGACACCCCAGGUGCUUGGGGACACCCCUAUGGCACCUCGAGACACCACAGGGACACCCCUGGGACACCCCGAGGCACCUCAGGGUGCUCAGGGACACCCUGGGACACCCCAAGGCACCUGUAGGGACCCCAGGGCACCCCCGGAGCACCCAGAGCCCCCCGAGCCCCCCACGGCACCUUCGGACCCCCGGGGUCACCCCGGGUGCUUGGGGACACCCCCAGGACCCCCCUAACGAGGGCACUAACGAGGCAGCGCUAACGAGGGGUCCCACGGCCACCCCCCCGCCCCUCCCCCGCUAAUGCCCCCCUAAAGGCCACAUAAACCCCCCGAGGGCCACCCCCACCCCCAGUGACACCAUGGCCAGGGCUGGGGACAUCAGCAGGGGCGUCACGGCUGUGGGGACACCGAUGGUCACACCGUGGUCACGGCGUGGUGGCACCAGUGGUGACAUGGUGGUGGCACUGGUGGUGACACUGUGGCCACACCAACGCGGUGCCGACGGUGACACCCACGGGCGCACACCCCGAUGGCGCUGACGGUGACGCCACCGUCCCACCAUGGUGACAUUCAUGGUGACACCGUGAUCCCGUCACGUUUGACACUGAUGGUGACACCGAUGGCGCCACCAGUGAUGAGGUCACGGUCCCACCAUGGUGACAUUGGCGGUGACAGCAAUGGCCAGGCCAGUCCCACCAUGGUGACAUUAAUGGUGACACCGUGGUCCCGUCAUGGUUGACACCGAUGGCACCACCAGUGAUGAGGUCACGGUCCCACCAUGGUGACAUUGACAAUGACGCCAAUGGCCAGGCCAGUCCCAUCAUGGUGACGCUGAUGGUGACACCAAUGGCAAGGCCACAGUCCCACCAUGGUGACAGUGACACCAUUGGUGCCAGUAAUGAUGGUCCCACCAUGGUGACAUUGAUGGUGACACCAAUGGCCAGACCAUGGUUCCACCAUGGUGACACUGAUGGUGGCACCAAUGGCAAAACCACAGUCCCAUCAUGGUGACAUUGAUGGUGACACCAAGAAUUCCACUAAUGGUGACACCGUGCUCCCAUCUUGGUGACACUAAUGAUGCCACUAAUGAUGAGGCCACAGUCCCACCAUGGUGACGCUGAUGGUGACACCAAUGGCAAA